Molecule: ribosomal RNA, 192 nt
Filed under: uncultured bacterium
Lineage: Bacteria
Description: partial 16S ribosomal RNA
Rfam family: Bacterial small subunit ribosomal RNA
Source: RNAcentral
AACUCGCCUACAUGAAGUCGGAAUUGCUAGUAAUCGCGGAUCAGCAUGCCGCGGUGAAUACGUUCCCGGGCCUUGUACACACCGCCCGUCACACCAUGGGAGUCGGUAACACCCGAAGCCUGUAGUCUAACCGCAAGGGGGACGCAGUCGAAGGUGGGAUUGAUGACUGGGGUGAAGUCGUAACAAGGUAAC